ACUGCUAAUACCGCAUAAGACCACAGUACCGCAUGGUACAGUGAUCAAAGGAUUUAUUCGCUGAAGGAUGGCUCGCGUCCGAUUAGGUAGUUGGUGAGGUAACGGCCCACCAAGCCUACGAUCGGUAGCCGGACUGAGAGGUUGAUCGGCCACAUUGGGACUGAGACACGGCCCAGACUCCUACGGGAGGCAGCAUG
This 197-nucleotide ribosomal RNA is filed under the name uncultured bacterium. RNAcentral describes it as "partial 16S ribosomal RNA". It matches the Rfam family "Bacterial small subunit ribosomal RNA", at positions 159 to 353 of the family's 1533-position model. The record is from RNAcentral.